Molecule: ribosomal RNA, 253 nt
Filed under: uncultured bacterium
Lineage: Bacteria
Description: partial 16S ribosomal RNA
Rfam family: Bacterial small subunit ribosomal RNA
Source: RNAcentral
UACGUAGGCAGCGAGCGUUGUUCGGAGUUACUGGGCGUAAAGAGUGCGUAGGCGGUUUUCUAAGUUUGGUGUGAAAUCUCCCGGCUUAACUGGGAGGGUGCGCCGAAGACUGGAAGGCUUGAGUAUGGGAGAGGUAAGCGGAAUUCCACGUGUAGCGGUGAAAUGCGUAGAUAUGUGGAGGAACACCUGUGGCGAAGGCGCCUUGCUGGCCAAUUUCUGACGCUGAGGCGCGAAAGCGUGGGGAGCAAACAGG